This 467-nucleotide ribosomal RNA is filed under the name uncultured bacterium. RNAcentral's name for it is "partial 16S ribosomal RNA". It matches the Rfam family "Bacterial small subunit ribosomal RNA", at positions 28 to 507 of the family's 1533-position model. The record is from RNAcentral.
GACGAACGCUGGCGGCGUGCUUAACACAUGCAAGUCGAACGGAAAGGCUCCAGCUUGCUGGAGUACUCGAGUGGCGAACGGGUGAGUAACACGUGGGUAAUCUGCCCUGCACUCUGGGAUAAGCCUGGGAAACUGGGUCUAAUACUGGAUAUGACCUUUCUCCUUAUGGGGUUUGGUGGAAAGUUUUUCGGUGUAGGAUGAGCCCGCGGCCUAUCAGCUUGUUGGUGGGGAGAUGGCCUACCAAGGCGACGACGGGUAGCCGGCCUGAGAGGGUGAUCGGCCACAUUGGGACUGAGAUACGGCCCAGACUCCUACGGGAGGCAGCAGUGGGGAAUAUUGCACAAUGGGCGGAAGCCUGAUGCAGCGACGCCGCGUGAGGGAUGACGGCCUUCGGGUUGUAAACCUCUUUCAGCAGGGACGAAGCGUAAGUGACGGUACCUGCAGAAGAAGCACCGGCUAACUAUGUG